Molecule: ribosomal RNA, 253 nt
Filed under: uncultured bacterium
Lineage: Bacteria
Description: partial 16S ribosomal RNA
Rfam family: Bacterial small subunit ribosomal RNA
Source: RNAcentral
UACGUAGGGUGCGAGCGUUAUCCGGAUUCACUGGGUUUAAAGGGUGCGUAGGUGGGUCUGUAAGUCAGUGGUGAAAUCUCCGAGCUUAACUCGGAAACUGCCAUUGAUACUAUAGGUCUUGAAUAUCCUGGAGGUGAGCGGAAUAUGUCAUGUAGCGGUGAAAUGCUUAGAUAUGACAUAGAACACCAAUUGCGAAGGCAGCUCACUACGGGAUCAUUGACACUGAGGCACGAAAGCGUGGGGAUCAAACAGG